UACGUAGGGGGCGAGCGUUGUCCGGAUUUAUUGGGCGUAAAGAGCUCGUAGGCGGCUUGGCAAGUCGGGUGUGAAAACUCCAGGCUCAACCUGGAGACGCCACUCGAUACUGCCAUGGCUAGAGUCCGGUAGGGGACCACGGAAUUCCUGGUGUAGCGGUGAAAUGCGCAGAUAUCAGGAGGAACACCCGUAGCGAAGGCGGCACUCUGGGCCGGAACUGACGCUGAGGAGCGAAAGCGUGGGGAGCAAACAGG
This 254-nucleotide ribosomal RNA is filed under the name uncultured bacterium. Its description in RNAcentral is "partial 16S ribosomal RNA". It matches the Rfam family "Bacterial small subunit ribosomal RNA", at positions 524 to 776 of the family's 1533-position model. The record is from RNAcentral.